GCCGAUAGGGUCCUGGAUUACCUUCCAACUAAAAUCCAGGGCCAUUGUUGAUGGCCAUUGAGACAAGUCCAGUGCACUCGCUCUACUUUGAUGUGUCUGCAUCAUAGUUGCAUCUCCUGAGUUUAGAAUCGAAAAACCAAAUCUGUCGCAGAUAUCUCGGAUGAUGGGAGUGCGAAUGUCAUCCUUAUCGCACCCCCAGUCGAGUCUAUCCCAGCGGUGCAAAAUAUGAGAACCCCACUCAAAUCAUUCAAUUUUGAAGCUCUUCUCUCUACCUCUAUGAUACAAACUACCUCUGCGGUCCAUAAGCUGCUAUGUCGUGUGAUUGUUUGUUACCUCUCCUCCUGCCUUGAUUGUUUUGCUCAUGUUCACUGUCUACUCGUAAGGACUAAAUCAUCAUGUCUAAGCGUUCAAAGCAAACAGAGAAUUUCUACAAAAAGCAAAAUCGAUUGUUGGAGGAAGCUGGAAGAAGUGUCGAUGAAUUAAACAUCACGCUAGAAACUGUUUCGACUUCUGUUUGGCCGGAUUUAGGAGUGGAAGUUUUACAACAAGAUCUUGAAUCGCUUUUUACAAGAUAUUGUUCUGUACAUCAAAAUCCAGUAACAUCUUCCGAUACUACUGACCAGAACAAUGAAGGAAUCGAGGAGAUGGAUGAUCCGGUUAAAGAAAUUGUUGAUGCCAAGGACCCGUACUCAUUUAUGCAAAAUUUGAGUUUGAAAGAUACGCUUGUGCAUCUAGUGAUACAGGGUCGUGCUUCCCGUUUCCUAACUGAAGGUUUUCUUGCCAUCUUAAGGAAAUAUUUCAAAGCCAAAGUUCCUAAAACAAAACGAACGCUUCUUAAAACACCAACGCAGAUUGGAUCUGGAAUUAUGGUAUCAUGGCAUCAAAAAAGUUCUUGUAACAUACUUUGAAAACGUUGUUCCAGAAGUAGACGCAUUUACGGUGGAUGUCUCUAUUGAUGGACUUCCACUCUUUAAAAGUUCCCCGAAGCAGCUUUGGCCAAUUCAAAUAAGAAUUGUUGAACUUUUAAAGCACCCAGCAAUGAUUGUUGGAACGUUUGGAGGAUCGAAAAAACCGGGUAGCUUGGAGGAAUUUUUAAGACCUCUAGUUGAGGAAAUAAAUGAUCUUCAGCGAAGAGGUUUGAAGUUUGGAGAUAAGCAGAUCUCCUUUUCACUUCGUGCCUUUAUUGCCGAUUCGCC
Molecule: long non-coding RNA, 1196 nt
Organism: Anopheles stephensi (Asian malaria mosquito)
Lineage: Eukaryota; Metazoa; Arthropoda; Insecta; Diptera; Culicidae
Exons: 3
Source: RefSeq, a predicted model, not a curated record